This 497-nucleotide ribosomal RNA is filed under the name uncultured bacterium. RNAcentral describes it as "partial 16S ribosomal RNA". It matches the Rfam family "Bacterial small subunit ribosomal RNA", at positions 28 to 507 of the family's 1533-position model. The record is from RNAcentral.
GAUGAACGCUGGCGGCGUGCCUAAUACAUGCAAGUCGAGCGAACGGACGAGAAGCUUGCUUUUCUGAUGUUAGCGGCGGACGGGUGAGUAACACGUGGAUAACCUACCUAUAAGACUGGGAUAACUUCGGGAAACCGGAGCUAAUACCGGAUAAUAUUUUGAACCGCAUGGUUCAAAAGUGAAAGACGGUCUUGCUGUCACUUAUAGAUGGAUCCGCGCUUCAUUAGCUAGUUGGUAAGGUAACGGCUUACCAAGGCAACGAUGCAUAGCCGACCUGAGAGGGGGAUCGGGCACACUGGAACUGAGACACGGUCCAGACUCCUAAGGGAGGCAGCAGUAGGGAAUCUUCCGCAAUGGGCGAAAGCCUGACGGAGCAACGCCGCGUGAGUGAUGAAGGUCUUCGGAUCGUAAAACUCUGUUAUUAGGGAAGAACAUAUGUGUAAGUAACUGUGCACAUCUUGACGGUACCUAAUCAGAAAGCCACGGCUAACUACGUG